Molecule: ribosomal RNA, 450 nt
Filed under: uncultured soil bacterium
Lineage: Bacteria
Description: bacterial SSU rRNA
Rfam family: Bacterial small subunit ribosomal RNA
Source: RNAcentral
AGAACGAACGCUGGCGGCAUGCCUAACACAUGCAAGUCGAACGAGACCUUCGGGUCUAGUGGCGCACGGGUGCGUAACGCGUGGGAAUCUACCCUUGGGUUCGGAAUAACAGUUGGAAACGACUGCUAAUACCGGACGAUGACGUAAGUCCAAAGAUUUAUCGCCCAGGGAUGAGCCCGCGUAGGAUUAGCUAGUUGGUGAGGUAAAGGCUCACCAAGGCGACGAUCCUUAGCUGGUCUGAGAGGAUGAUCAGCCACACUGGGACUGAGACACGGCCCAGACUCCUACGGGAGGCAGCAGUGGGGAAUAUUGGACAAUGGGCGAAAGCCUGAUCCAGCAAUGCCGCGUGAGUGAUGAAGGCCUUAGGUUGUAAAAGUCUUACUUUUACCCGGGAAGUAUAAUGAACUGUAACGGAGAAAUAAGCUCCGCUAACUCCGUGCCAGCAGCCGC